Long non-coding RNA from Alosa sapidissima (American shad), 761 nucleotides. RefSeq lists it as uncharacterized. The record is from RefSeq and is a predicted model, not a curated record. NCBI's taxonomy places the organism in Eukaryota, Metazoa, Chordata, Actinopteri, Clupeiformes, Clupeidae. The transcript is spliced from 5 exons.
AUGCAUUUGUUGAGUGGGCAAGUAACAUGCAAUUGCAAUGUCAACGUUAAAUAGGCUAGUGAUUAAUUGUGACUACUAGGCCUACGGGUUGUCGUUCACACUGGCCGCCUCCACCAUAAUAGUCAGAUGUCUGCCACUGCAGCUGACGUUGAGACAACUCUCCUGCAAGUCCUCGCCUGAUACUGCCUGUUUCAGGUGCAACAGGGCAAGUCACAAUUAGAGGUUGGAUGAUCACCUUUGAGGGCCGUGUAAUCUCUGAGGGCAUCCCACCAACAUUUGCAACGGGACUUACUGCUGUGUUUGCAAUCUACUACAUAUUCAACCUUCAGUAUCAAGAUGAGGCAGCCUGCACUCUGGAAUUCAUUCAGAGGCGCAUCAUUGGUAUAAAUCCAGAGAGCGGGACAAAGGCCAAAAUGGGCAAGGUUGUCUCCAAGAAGAAAGGUGUUAUCAUCCAGAAGAAGUCUUCUGCAGUCAAUACACACGUCGCCAUGUUUCUGAAGAAUCUCAUUGACUUGAAUGGAACUUGAUAUAGACCGUGGCAACACUGGAAUAAUGCUGCAGAGAGGAACAGCGGCAACCAAAGUGAUGGUCAUCUCUACUGGAUCCACAACAACUAAGAUGUAAAAACACAAACCUACCUCACAGGACUAUUUUAAGAUGUAAAAACACAUUUCCAUUCCAUAUUUCCAUUUUUUCCAUUUUUUGAAAGUAGCAAUAUUCAUGUUGACAUUGCUCUUUGAAAUAAAGGUAUUUGAUUUUGA